CUCCAUCCCUCGCUCUCGCUCCUUGUCUCCCUGCCUGAAGAACUCCUCCAUGAUUCUCUCCGUCCAUUGUCGAUACACAGCCAGCGGUUUCGUCGGGUUGCUCAGGUGUGCACCUUGUUGGAAGCCAUCUCGCUGACUGAGCGGUGAGUCUGAAUGGUCUCCAGCUGGUCCAGACACCAGUCCAGUUCCUCCAGAGUCUCCCGAGCCAUCUGCUGGACUGACUGUCUUUCAUAAUCAUCCAGUGAAGCUGACACUCUGCCAGUCUUUUUUUGGGCAAGAACACUGACUGGGGCAGGAGGUCUAGAAGUGAUACCUCAGAUGAGACGUUGGCAUCAGCAAUGGCGCAGCAGACAGUUAAAUGAGCUGAUGCAAUCUUCAUCUAUGUCUCUCUGUGGCAAUCGUGGUUUCCAGUGCGCUCCUUUAUCCUUUUCAGCUCUGUUUUGUUGUGAGAACUAUAGUUAGGCUCUCUCCACACUCCCCUGAUAUGUCUUACAUUAGUCCGACAUGGUGCUCUGCUUGACAGGUGUAUGCUUUUUGUUCUUUCUGCUCUACUGUGUGUGUGUGUGUGUGUGUGUGUGUGUGUGUGUGUGUGUGUGUGUGUGUGUGUGUGUGUGUGCGCCGCUGCGCAGACACACAGCUGACAGAGGGUUUGUCAGUCUCAGUCACUCAGAUAGAUCUGUGCGAAGACAGCAGCCUAAAGCACAUUUCAGCAGGGUCAUCCUCUCACGUCACUCUGUGCCACGACAUCAGAGGCCGCCAAUUGCAUCUGGUGGUCUGCCUCACCUACUGGGAUGCAAAUUGGACACAGUAUCCUUAUUCCCACGUCUACCUUGUAAGGACAUCUCACCCAGAAUGAGCAUCGUAGAGGAGUUUUCUCUCAAGCAGAACUGUUUGCUGAGAGGUGAAAGACAACCACUUAUUUUGAAAGUGAAUAAACCCCACAAUUUGACAUUUAAAUUUUGCCUAGUCUCAGUCUUCUUGGUUUGAAUUGGGUGACUUGAUUACACUAAAAAGGGGUUUUCUUUUAGUUCCUCCUAGUGCCUGUGGGCUUGAAGAAUAAAUUACUAUUACUACAACUAAAAAGCUUAAAUUUGUGUCAGAAGAAAAAUAAAUCCAAGGAAAAGUGAGGAGGAUGAUUUUUUGUGUGUAUUUUUAUCUCACAGCAUAAUUAUUAAAGGCCGUUCU
Long non-coding RNA from Micropterus salmoides (largemouth bass), 1185 nucleotides. RefSeq lists it as uncharacterized. The transcript is spliced from 3 exons. Lineage: Eukaryota; Metazoa; Chordata; Actinopteri; Centrarchiformes; Centrarchidae. The record is from RefSeq and is a predicted model, not a curated record.